GCAACUACACACAAAAGAUUUUAAGUACUGAACUAUCAACGCUCAAGUACGUUAAACGUAAUAAGCGGGUGUGCUUUUUUACCCAUAUCUCGCUGAAUAUAACUAACACGUUUAAAAAUGACUGAGGAGAUUGAUUUAGCUGGUGAACAAUUUGGAGACCAAGACGAAGAGAAAGAGAACAACAACGAUGUUAAUUUAAUCAUCCCAAACCGAUCCUCAAGUAGGGCUCCAAGCAGAGCAAAGAGUCGUGGAAGCAUCGGUGACCAACGCAAGACUAUUAGUAGAGCAGCCAGCAGUCAAGCCUCAAGACCAGGCAGCAGGCUAUCUGAAAAAGAUGAGGUUGAGGAGAAGAAGCGGGCUGCCUCCCAGCAAACAUUUGUUAGUGAUGCCUCUGCAGGAUGGGACACAGAUCUUGAGGUUGAAGGUACUAUCACAGCUAUGAAAAUGAAGGUUCGUGAAUCAUAUGAUGCUUCAGGCAGAACAACAUACAUUGAGGCCUGUCGUAUCAAUGGUGUUAUACCAGUAUCGUACGUCUUACGUCAUAUCACAGACGCUGAGUUAACGAUGAAGCAUCAUGGUCUAGGACCAGCUGGGGCAAAGGCCCUUGCAAUAGCCCUUGUGUCAAAUACAACAAUCAGCAAGUUAAAUCUUGGUGACAACUGGCUGGAUGCUAGUGGUGGUGAAGCUAUUGGUGACAUGUUAAAAGAAAACUGCUACAUUACAGAUUUGGAUUUAUCAGAGAACAGAUUGGGUAACCAAGGUGCUAGAGCAUUAUGUGAUAUGCUUCUGAACAAUGCAACAUUAACACAUGUAACACUAUCAGGAAAUGGCUUUGAAGAUAAAAGUGCUGAAUCAUUUGCAGAGGUUAUACUAGGUAACAGCAAGUUGGAAUAUCUGAACCUAAGUCACAAUGAAUUUAGCGAGAGUGCGGGGUUGAUCCUGGGACCAGCUAUAGCUGAGAACAUCAACAUCAAACACAUUGACUUAAGCUGGAAUCACAUUAGGAGGAAAGGAGCUCUGGCAUUAGCCAAGGGAAUCAUGAAUAACAUCGGUUUAAAGAAAGUUGAUUUGUCUUGGAAUGGUUUUGGGAAUGAAGGUGCACAAGCAAUUGGAGAAGCUCUUAAAUUAAAUAGUUCACUGGAGGAACUAGACAUUACAAACAACCGAAUACCAGCAGAGGGCGCCAUAUUAAUCAGCAAAGGUCUAGCUGUUAAUGAAAGUCUCAAAGUUUUGAAGAUUGGCAAAAAUCCUAUGCAGACCGCUGGUUGUUAUGGUAUUGUGAAAGCUUGUAAAGACAAUGCAAAUACAGCGAUUGAAAGCAUAGAAUUCCUUAACAUUCAGGUUAAUAAAGAUUUUGAUGAGUUAUUUAAAGAACUGAAGGAGUUAAGACCAGACAUGAAAGUGAAGCAUGGCGGUAUGCAGGAGGAGGUCAAACCAAAGGCUAGACUCAACCCCAUGGUGAAAUUAUACCGCUACAUUCAAAAGAACAACUUACGAUUCAUGGACUUUUUCAAUAAAGUAGACAAAGAUGGAAGUAUGAGUGUCACUUACGAUGAGUUUGAGGAGGGACUCAAGGAAAUUGGUAUUGACUUAAAUCAAGAAGAGAUAGCCUGGCUGAUUAAUGAGUUUGAUCGUGAUGGAGAUGGUGAUAUUAAUUACAGCAAAAUACCUAUGCUUGUAGAGUUAUUUAUAUACAAGAUAAAAUAGUAUAAUGUUGAUGGUGAAGUGUUCUUAGCAUUUACCAAGAUAGAGGGCUGAGUGAACUUGUGAUGGGUAAUUAUGACAAGUCUGGUUCUUCGGUCAUUUGAUGCUGUAGGAGAAAUUGAAAUUAUGUCAAAUUGAUCAAUGACCUACUAGAGGUCAUAGUAGGCAGCCAAUGUGACAUUCCACCUCAAUCACAUUUUUCAGUAACAAGUAUUUCAACCAAUUUGACAGGAUUACAAUAUGCACUUUACAUAAACAAAUUCUCGUUAAAGUGCAGGGUAGGGAAGGUAAUAUUAAUUGUGGAAUAAAUCCACCACUAAAAUUCUAGUAAAAUUUAGAGGAAUCAAACCUGCACCUUCAUGGUUGGAAGCUGUGUGAUACCACUAUCACCGAAAUAUGACUUCCUCUUUGAUCUGUCUUUGGUGCUCUUUUGUCUAAGCUAAACCAUCAAUGUUAGAUAUAUUUUUACAAGAAAGUAAAUGUGUAUGUUUUAAUUGCUAGGACAGUCUUUUUGUAUUACUCCAUCAUAAAUUUGUAAAUGAAUAAUAUAUUUUGGAGAAUUUGCUUUUACAUGUACUGUAUAUAUUGAGGGGAUCACGUACUGUAAAUGGGGGUUGUGUGGAAAGGGGAAUGGGGUGCAUGUGUGUGAUAUAACAUAUAGUAGUGUCUAUUGCCAAUUCUUCCUUACGGCAUAAUCUGUUUUGAUAUGCUGUGAAAUAUACGUUGCAGUCUCCAGUCUUCUGUAGUGCUAUAGUAACUUUAUUAUUUUUGUUAAAUAAUAUUUAAAUGAUCAUAUUUUAAAGCUACAUUUUUCUGUAUCUGUAUGGUCUCAUGCAAACACCUUCUGAGGUUGUCGUCGCACGUAAGUUGGGGUCAGGUGUGCAAGGAAUUAUCUUUUUUGGUUUUUAUGAAGUUUUCUUAGGCUAUAAUCUUCCAAAUACAGUUAUCAAUGAUGCAAAGAAUAUUUUACCGUCAGAAAGAGAUUCCAAUGAAUUUAUGCCACCAAUCUAUAUUAAAAUAUGUAUAUAUGUAUAUGUAUAUUGUAUAUAUUUUGUUUGAUGCAAUUAAAAUAUGACAUGUACGUAAA
Anneissia japonica is the source of this 2791-nucleotide RNA transcript. It is a transcript of the gene named leucine-rich repeat-containing protein 74B-like, with no coding region annotated. NCBI's taxonomy places the organism in Eukaryota, Metazoa, Echinodermata, Crinoidea, Comatulida, Comatulidae. The transcript has 15 exons. The record is from RefSeq and is a predicted model, not a curated record.